AUCUCCAAGCCUCGUUGUAGGCCGUGUACUGGGGGUGGCUGUACGGGUUGCCGGAGAACUCGCUCCCUGCGGGAGGGUCGGGGAGUGGGGAUCAGACGCGUGCACGCCGGAGCGGACCCCACGAGUCCGGCCGGUGGCUUCUCCGCCCGCUCCUCCCUCCGGGUCUCAGGCGCAGGUGUCGCGGGCAGGGUAAUAGCCUGGCGGUUGGGCCGGGCGGAGGUGGGGCGAUCACCGCGUCCGCGUGGGGAGAGCCCGGGCAGGCGGGAGGCACCGACGCGCUCGCACACCCACGGGUGGACCCUGUGGGCCAGUGCCCGCCCGGGGCUUCCCAGCGGAGGCGCUCGCGGCCACCCACGAAGGCUUUGUACUGGGGCGCGUCCACCCUGUCGCACUGGGGGCCAGGGCCUUUAUAGAGGCCACUCCGGUUCUAGGAGGCAUGGCCCCCAAUGGGCGGAAAUGGGGAUGGGGGACAGUGGCGAAGAAAGGCCUUCGGGACACUUUUCUCCCAGAAAGUCCUAUGAAUGGCAUCAAUGCGCGGUGCCAACACAAGAGGUGGGGGCUCUGUUGGGAGACACCGCCCUCCCGCUUUUCCCUCAAGAGGUUGGAUGCGUGGGCUACGCGGCAGGGGAUGGAGGCGGCAGGAAGCAGAUCAACAUCACUGCCAGCAUCUCGGCAUGCUCCUCUGUCACUGCAGCCCCGGCCAGGCAUGGGGAGGGAGGCAAGGAGAGACUCGGCUCCGUUCCAGACCAGCAGCCUAGAGCCGUGGGCUGGAGAGAAGAGAUGCCGCUGAGCUAGAGCAGCCCAGCGGCGGAAGGGAAAGUGGGUGAUAAAUUUAAAUAACCAGCUUGACUUGGCAGCUUGCUGAGUUGUGAUGCAGUGAAAUUAAAAUCUCGGCAGAACUUGCAAACACUACCCAGCAAAAUCAGUCUCUUUCCUUGGUUCCCUG
This 946-nucleotide long non-coding RNA is filed under the name Rhinopithecus bieti (black snub-nosed monkey). RNAcentral describes it as "lncRNA (ENSRBIG00000046790.1)". The record is from RNAcentral. Lineage: Eukaryota; Metazoa; Chordata; Mammalia; Primates; Cercopithecidae.